CACUGUUAUUCAAUCUCUUGGUCGGUCAACCUUUUGCUUUGAUCUCUCUCUCUCUCUUACAAAUCCAUAAAUUUGAUCUCAAGACACUGAUCAUAUCCUUCUACUACUCUCAACACAAUAUUCUUUUGUGCUCGUCUUUGGAUCAGCUAUUUUGGGUCAUCCUUCAUCAGCUAUAGAUGGCGGAAUCCGGUGAGAAUCCCUUGUACAGCUGCAGGAAUUGCAGAAAUCCUCUUGCCUUCAGUACGGAUCUCUUAUCCAAAUCUUAUCAGGCAAGAUCAGGGCAGGCAUAUAUGUUUUCUCAUGUGAUGAACAUUGUUUUGGGACAUAAAAAAGACAUGAAGAUGAUAACUGGGAUGUACACAAUUGCUGGUAUCCACUGCAGCAGUUGUGGUCAGGAGCUGGGCUGGAAAUACGUGAGGGCUUUUGAUCCAACACAGAGGUUCAAGGAAGGGAAUUUCAUACUUGAGAAAUUGAAGCUUGUGAAGGAAUAUUAGAUAUGUGUUAAUUUGCAUUUAAAAUUUUGCUGUUGAGACUCUGUUUGUGUUUGAUUAAUGUUAUGUAAAUACUUGAAAAUAAUUUGUGUGUGUGUGCGUGUUUAUAUAUAUAUAUAUGUUGAUGUGGAUUUUAGAUUGAAA
Molecule: long non-coding RNA, 635 nt
Organism: Populus nigra (black poplar)
Lineage: Eukaryota; Viridiplantae; Streptophyta; Magnoliopsida; Malpighiales; Salicaceae
Exons: 3
Source: RefSeq, a predicted model, not a curated record